Molecule: long non-coding RNA, 1378 nt
Organism: Brassica oleracea var. oleracea
Lineage: Eukaryota; Viridiplantae; Streptophyta; Magnoliopsida; Brassicales; Brassicaceae
Exons: 6
Source: RefSeq, a predicted model, not a curated record
UGAGCAGGUGGAUUUAGAGAGUCAGACGUAGUGGUUCUUCACAUCUCACCGACCCAGAUGGUCGUCUUUGUAACGUCACUUGGAAACAUUAAUCCAAGCAUUAACGUUUUCUGCACGACUCCUCCCACUUUCUCGAAUUAAAUCGACCAUAGCAUCCUCUGAAGUAAUGCCCUGAAGCUUCGCAUAUAAAUGGCUUUGUUGCUUGGGAUGAACAGUCCUAUCAAAACAAAAUCCCAAAGGUCUACCUCUGUCAAGCAUCAAAUCCAUCAAUGGUGAAUUCAUCUAUUAUUCUUGCUGAUUUAAAAGCUGGAAGCUGUUCAAACACCGUCAAGGUCCGUCUCAUCAGAUUCGGAGAGGCAAGAAUUGUUAAGAACGGUGGUCACCUCAGGGGUGUCCACAUGCUUCUCCUUAACGAGAAGGUGGGAUGUAUGGUAUUGAUGUCGCUGGAAGCACGUUUCACUACGAAGGUUUAUCGAGGUCACGGAAAAAGUGACCAUCCCAGCAGAGAAGUUUCGUUUUCAAAAGUAUAAUCAACUCAUGGCUUUGGCUAACACCAACUUCGAUUUGGCUGACAUCAUGGGCGAAGUUAGUUGUAUCAACACUGUUUUCGAUAAUGAAAACCAUUUCAUUCAUCAUAACAAUCCAAUUAGACAGGAAAGACGCAUCUCUUUCUCUCUGCAAAUAAAAACUGGUUACAUAUAAUGGAAAUAUUUCAGAACAAACUCAGGAUGACUUCAAUGCUUGGUUAGAUAUCUCCACUCUAAAUCAAAUAAGAAAAAUUGCAACUCUGGAGAUGCAAAUGAAUGUAAAUCGAUGGAAGCUAUAAUCAGAAAAUAGAAACUUGAUUUUGGGAAGUUUUCUCUUUGAAAAUAUAUGCGAGGUAUAUUAUACUCUCUAUUUUGUGAAGCCUGCUCUAGGGCUUAGCUUAUUAUACGUUUUGUGUUCUGAAAGUAUUAUAUAAUUUUGGGGUUCCCGGAUCUUUUCUGCUUGUAAUUCAUGCCAUCAUGGAGAAGAGAAAAGCAUACUCAUCUGGUUAUUGAUCUUGCGCUGACUAAUAGAUUUCUGGUUGAAGGUGUAAUCAAAGUUUUCAGGAUGCCAUGAUGUAUAUCGAUCCAUAGGUACCUGCACGGCCUGCACUGCAGUUUUUUGGAGUCAAUGGUUCGUGAGCCUCCAGUUUAUGAGGUUCCAGAGUGUCCCCCGGUGACAAGGAGGUAUUCGAUAUAAGAAGCUCAAUCGGGCGAUUUCAUUGAGUUUUUUUUUCCCUUGAAAAAACAUAUUAUAUAGUUGGAUGUGUAACUGAUGAUUUUUGCAAUUGUUUCUAGACGAGAUCAUGAUGAGGCAUUUUGAGAUAAUGCAAUUGUAAAUAGUUUUUAAUCAA